AGUCACUGACAUUAGAUACCCGUGUAGUCCCAGCCGUAAACUAUGCGCGUUAGGUGUAUCGGUGACCACGAGUCACCGAGGUGCCGAAGGGAAACCGUGAAACGUGCCGCCUGGGAAGUACGGUCGCAAGGCUGAAACUUAAAGGAAUUGGCGGGGAGCACAACAACGGGUGGAGCCUGCGGUUUAAUUGGACUCAACGCCGGACAACUCACCGGGACGACAGCAAUAUGUAGGCCAGGCUGAAGACCUUGCCUGAAUCGCUG
RNAcentral lists this ribosomal RNA (263 nucleotides) under uncultured archaeon. RNAcentral's name for it is "partial 16S ribosomal RNA". It matches the Rfam family "Archaeal small subunit ribosomal RNA", at positions 717 to 982 of the family's 1478-position model. The record is from RNAcentral.